UACGGAGGGUGCAAGCGUUAUCCGGAUUCACUGGGGUUAAAGGGAGCGUAGGUGGGUCUGUAAGUCAGUGGUGAAAUCUCCAGGGCUCAACCCGGAAACUGCUCUGCAUACUGGCAGACUGGAGUGAUGCAGAGGUUUGUGGAAUUCCUGGUGUAACGGUGAGAUGUGUUGAUAUCAGGAGGAACACCCAUGGCGAAGGCAGCAAACUGGGCAUUAACUGACGCUGAGGCGCGAAAGCGUGGGUAGCAAACAGG
RNAcentral lists this ribosomal RNA (254 nucleotides) under uncultured bacterium. RNAcentral describes it as "partial 16S ribosomal RNA". It matches the Rfam family "Bacterial small subunit ribosomal RNA", at positions 524 to 776 of the family's 1533-position model. The record is from RNAcentral.